GAUGAAGAACGUAGCGAAAUGCGAUAAGUAAUGUGAAUUGCAGAAUUUUGUGAAUCAUCGAAUCUUUGAACGCACAUUGCGCCCCUUGGUAUUCCGGGGGGCACACCUGUUCGAGCGUCAUUUCACCACUCAAGCCUCGCUUGGUAUUGGGCAACGCGGUCCGCCGCGUGCCUCAAAUCGACCGGCUGGGUCUUCUGUCCCCUAAGCGUUGUGGAAACUAUUCGCUAAAGGGUGUUCGGGAGGCUACGCCGUAAAACAACCCCAUUUCUAAGGUUGACCUCGGAUCAGGUAGGGAUACCCGCUGAACUUAAGCAUAUCAAUGAGCGGAGGA
This 331-nucleotide unclassified non-coding RNA is filed under the name soil metagenome. Its description in RNAcentral is "partial contains 5.8S ribosomal RNA, internal transcribed spacer 2, and large subunit ribosomal RNA". The stretch from base 1 to 120 matches the Rfam family "5.8S ribosomal RNA", at positions 35 to 154 of the family's 154-position model. The record is from RNAcentral.